AGGGCACUGGAAGGUCCCUAAACCGAAAGGGGCUCUGCCCGCCCGAGGAUGGGCCGGCGGCCGAUUAGGUAGUUGGUGGGGUAACGGCCCACCAAGCCCAUAAUCGGUACGGGCAGUGAGAGCUGGAGCCCGGAGAUGGACACUGAGACACGGGUCCAGGCCCUACGGGGCGCAGCAGGCGCGAAACCUCCGCAAUGCUCGAAAGAGCGAUGGGGGGACCCCAAGUGCCGUGGUACAACCACGGCUUUUCCGGAGUGUAAGAAGCUCCGGGAAUAAGGGCUGGGCAAGGCCGGUGGCAGCCGCCGCGGUGAUACCGGCGGCCCGAGUGGUGGCCACUAUUAUUGGGCCUAAAGCGUCCGUAGCCGGGCUUGUAAGUCCCUGGCGAAAUCCCACGGCUCAACCGUGGGGCUUGCUGGGGAUACUGCAAGCCUUGGGACCGGGAGAGGCCGGGGGUACUCCUGGGGUAGGGGUGAAAUCCUAUAAUCCCAGGAGGACCGCCAGUGGCGAAGGCGCCCGGCUGGAACGGAUCCGACGGUGAGGGACGAAGGCCAGGGGAGCAAACCGGAUUAGAUACCCGGGUAGUCCUGGCUGUAAAGGAUGCGGGCUAGGUGUUGCUUGGACCUCGAGUCCAAGCAGUGCCG
RNAcentral lists this ribosomal RNA (641 nucleotides) under uncultured archaeon. Its description in RNAcentral is "bacterial SSU rRNA". It matches the Rfam family "Archaeal small subunit ribosomal RNA", at positions 164 to 803 of the family's 1478-position model. The record is from RNAcentral.